AUCAAUUGCAAAACAAGUCUAUCACAACAUUAUACAUCCAUGUUUAAUACUGAACUCAUACAAAAAAUGAAAAAUGAAGAGGGAAGCACUGGUCUAAAUCAAGAAAACAGGAAUGUAAAAUGUUGGUUAGAAAUUUGGUCAUCCAAAUUGUGUACAAUAAAUUCCAAAGCUUUCCAUAAAUGUGGGAUUAAACAAGAAAUUCAUAUUCUUUCAUUAUAGUUAACAUUC
RNAcentral lists this long non-coding RNA (228 nucleotides) under Mytilus galloprovincialis (Mediterranean mussel). Lineage: Eukaryota; Metazoa; Mollusca; Bivalvia; Mytilida; Mytilidae. The record is from RNAcentral.